AAUAGAUACCCCGGUAGUCCACGCUGUAAACGUUGGGCGCUAGGUGUGGGGGGCCUCUCCGGUUCUCUGUGCCGCAGCUAACGCAUUAAGCGCCCCGCCUGGGGAGUACGGCCGCAAGGCUAAAACUCAAAGGAACUGACGGGGGCCCGCACAAGCGGCGGAGCAUGCGGAUUAAUUCGAUGCAACGCGAAGAACCUUACCUGGGUUUGACAUGGCCGCAAAACCGGCAGAGAUGUCGGGUCCUUCGGGGCGGUCACAGGUGGUGCAUGGCUGUCGUCAGCUCGUGUCGUGAGAUGUUGGGUUAAGUCCCGCAACGAGCGCAACCCUCGUUCGAUGUUGCCAGCGCGUUAUGGCGGGGACUCAUCGAAGACUGCCGGGGUCAACUCGGAGGAAGGUGGGGAUGACGUCAAGUCAUCAUGCCCCUUAUGUCCAGGGCUUCACGCAUGCUACAAUGGCCGGUACAAUGGGCUGCGAUACCGUGAGGUGGAGCGAAUCCCAAAAAGCCGGUNUCAGUUCGGAUCGGGGUCUGCAACUCCG
This 537-nucleotide ribosomal RNA is filed under the name uncultured bacterium. RNAcentral describes it as "bacterial SSU rRNA". It matches the Rfam family "Bacterial small subunit ribosomal RNA", at positions 777 to 1314 of the family's 1533-position model. The record is from RNAcentral.